This 5241-nucleotide long non-coding RNA is filed under the name Malus domestica (apple). RNAcentral describes it as "long non-coding RNA (MDOM_LNC009566)". Lineage: Eukaryota; Viridiplantae; Streptophyta; Magnoliopsida; Rosales; Rosaceae. The record is from RNAcentral.
AGAACCAAACAUAAUUUAUUAUUUGAAUUUAAAAACUAUACAACUUAAAUUUUAAAACUACAACUUAAAUUCAUUAAAAAAAAAAAAUUGAAUCCAACGGUAACUAGCCGUUGUAUUUGAAAUUUUGGCCUACCAUUCCUGUUGGAUAUAACCGACAGGAAUAAGUACAAUGCUUUCGAAUAUAACUGACAUGAAUAAUGAAAAUUAUGGCCCAGCACGGGGCUGACUGCUUUGGGCCAGCCGGUUGAUCCUUUGGUCCUUUUUUGUCCGGUGGGGCCCACGAGCCAUUUGGCCUAGCCCUCGGUUGGAGACAAUUUUCGAGCUAUUUUCGGCCAUUUGGCCUCUGGACCAUUCGGUUGGAGAUGGUCUUACCUUCUUCACACAUUUCUUCUCCCUAACCUCAUAUCUAUUCCUUGUCAAGUCAGAUAGCCACAUCCCUGGAAAACAAUAUUGCCAACAAAUAAAUAUAUUUAAAUUAAAAAAUUUUGUUUUUAAUUAAACCCAAAAAUUAAAAUUAAAAUUGAAGAACAAUCACCACAAAGGUCGACCCAAAAAUUAUGUAAUGUUUACUAUUUUAUCUAUUUAUUUGUCAUAUUAAAUUUUGUACGCAUCAAUCAAAUAAAAGAAAUUUUGGAGUCAUUAGGCGUUACAAACAAAUCAAAAUUUGAGAACUAGUCAUGCUCAUGCAUUUAUUUAAUACAUUUACUCUUUAACAAAAUUGCACAGAGAUUUGGAAUUAAAAGAGAAAGUUUUUAUUUAAAAUGGUCCAUGAGAUUAAUAUAACUCAUCACCUUCAUCCCUGAUAUUUAAAAUCGAUAAAAAUGGUUCUCAUGUUAUUCACCAUUCCAUGAGAAAUCUUUGUUAAAUUAAGAGUAAUUUUGUUAAAUGAACCCCUCAUCUUGAAUUGGCGAUUUCUUCAAUAUAAAAUUAAAAUUGAGUAAAUGCUAUCAUUUGAUAUUACUUGGGGUGAUGAUAAUUAUGUUAGUAAAAUAACAACAAUGAUGACAAAUACUAAUGAUACAAGCACCUGAAGUUAGAGAAAAUUUUCAUUGUGAUCGGAAUAUGGGUGAUAUACUAUAUGUUUUUAUAUAAACGGUGAAAAUAUUUUUUUUUAGUUAUUAAUUUUUUUAACACAAAUAUUUUACCAUUUAUAUAAUGACACGUGAUGUAUCAUUCUGUAUUCCGAUCACACAGAAACAUCUAUCAUGAAGUUAUUAUUAUUAUUUUUUUGGUAAAUCUCUCCUGAAGUUAAGGUGCAUGAUUUUGGUUACUUUUGAUGUGUCUUAUUCAACAUGGAAUUGUACAGAGUGUAGGGUAGAUAGUCUCUGUGAUUUUCCGGAAUGCCCAAAAAUUUUGGAAAUUGAUAACAUGACGGGAUUUAAGGAAUACCCAUAGCCUCUAAUUUUUCCCAUUUGUUGUCAAAGCGUAUUACUGCGACGAUAUGAGUCCUAAUAUGGUCAAAUGGGUAUGCAAAUUUCAUAUUUUUCGAUAUGAGUUUUAAUAUGGUCAAAGAGUACUACUACGACGAUAUGAGUCUUAAUACUACUAUGGUUGUAUUAGUUUCGAUGGCUUAAUUGGCUUAUUCUGCAUUUUCAUGUCUAAUUAGUUACCAAUGUUUUUACUUUCCCUGUGUUUUGUAAAUCUUUUGUAAUGAAUUAUUAUUAUUUUUUAUUUCACAGUUUGGCGGGUCAUAAAAGUUAUGUUUUGAAGAAUUUAUUGUCAAGAUGAUUGGUUAUAUGUUGUUUGCACAUUUCCAUAUUUCAUCAAAUUAGUAGAAGAUUAAAAUUAUGUCUGUAAUACUAUGAAUAUAAUUUCAUUCGUUGUAUUAUGAUUGAGUUUGUAAUUGGAAAAUCUUGCAGCUUAGGCUUCCGAUUGUAAGUUUCAUAAAUAUGGGAUUGUGUAAAUACAUAAUGUUUUGUAUAUCGGAUUUUUUUAUUGAACAUGACAAAUUUAUGUUUGAACAAUAUGGUAGAGAAGACUACAUAGACAAGAAAGAAGAUAAGGCACCUAAUGUGAGAAUAGUGAACACCAUGUACAUACGCUCAAGUAUUAUCAUUUGUACGUAAAUAGUAUUGUACAUAAAAAAUUUAUACAAUUUUCAAUCAUGCAACAUCGUGCGUACACUCUUUGCUAGUCACUAUAGUCUAAAGUUGAGGAGGAAAUUGACACCAUACAUAAGCUACAGUAAAAAUACUUUGAUUUUGAUUUAUUUACCAAGUUGCCAUUCUACCCAAAUUUUUGCUUUGUUACGGAUUUGCAGGCCAAAAUUUUGCUUUGUGAUGGAUUUGCCAGGUUCGGCUUUCGCAUUCAAAGGGCCAGACAGAGGCCUAGAGGGCUGGACCAAAACGGCGCAGUAUUGAAACAAGUAAAAUUACUCUUGCCCGUUUAGAUUUGAGACGGGACGGGCAAGGGUGAAGAUUAUGGGGGUAGUUUUGUCAUUGCACGUUUGGAGUUUGGGGGGCAUGUUGUCUGCUUCGUUGGAUGGGAUUGAGCCAUUGAGGGAGUGUUGUUGCAGACGAGAGAGGAAGAUAGAGGGAGAGGGAGAGAUAUGCUGAGUUUAAUUUUGGUCUGUUCGUUUUCUUUUUGCUGUUUUGGAUUCAAUUCGAAUCAAAUAAUGUAGUUUAUCUUGAUAUCAAUUCUCUCUACAACAAUAAUUAGGGGUUUUUGUUUAAAUUAUCAAUGAUUUGCUUUGAUUUGGCAUUGAAUCUUUGUUAAUUUGGACUGCGGGUGGUUCUGAUACGGAGGAGAAGCUGCAAGAGCUUAUGAUCUUGUCGACUUAAGUACUGUCGUUCUUCAACUCAUAUAAACUUUCCACCUUAAAAUUUAGUUAAAUAUAGACCAAAACAAUCCUGGCAUUUCUGUUAAAGUCAGAGCUUUAAAAUUUAGAUGAAAAAUUUAGUAUUGAGAUGAUUAUGUUAUAGAAAUAGAGCUUAUUUACAAGCUUUGGUAAUAAAAGGGAUUUAAUACGUAUUCAAGUAAAAAUUUAAGGUUAUGACUAGUUCAAAAAUAUCAUAAGAUAUUUCUUUCAACAUAACUGGAUCUUACUUUCAAAUAUAUAGACCUUAUUUUAUAUGAACUGAUAAAAGAAAUUUGAUUUAAAGAAAUAAGAAGGUUUUUGGCUAUGGUUAUCUAAUUUAAAGAAAUAAGAAGGUUUUUGACUAUGAUUAUCUAUUGUUGGGAGUUUUGAAAAUUAGAAGAAAGGUAGCUGGCAUCAGCAAGUUUUGAACAGAGGAUCUGGUGUAUAACCAAACUCUGCUUCUGACACGCUUUAACCUUGAUAUCCCAAAUACUAUGAUGGGCACGUGCUGGCCGACACCCAAGAAUGACGAAGCCAUUUAAAUAUGCAUACAAAUAAAAUACGUAAUAAAAAAAAGGAAUAUACCAAUACGGAAACAUGUUCAGAUCAUACAACUAAUCAAUAAUACUGCAAUAAAAUUAUUAUAAAAGGGUACGAACAAGGGAGAGAGGUCUUACACUGAGAAGACUCGAAGAUACCAAUGUGGGAGUGCCCUAGCGUCGGGAUUAUAUGCUUCAAUUCUAAAUCCUGAAGGGAGCGCAAAACGAAAAGGUGAGUGGACCAAAGUUUAUAAUAAUAAUAAUACUAAGUAAAAUCCAUUUUCUUUUGAACAUACUAACCCUUUGUUUUGAAAACACAUAUAUAAUACUACAUACUGGGUUUUUCUGAAAACCCUAAUGUGCAGUAGAUAAUAAAACCAUAUCUAAAAGUGGUACUGAAAUCUCCCAAAGGCAAAUCCGAGAAAGCUCGUAAACUCAAAAUAAUAAAGUACUCAACUAGGGGUAUCAUAGUCACCUGAACAUAACCAUUGUCACGCCCCAAAAACGGGCAUGUAAUAGUGCCACGCUCUAUUAGUAACACAAUACUAUAGUUUUAAAUUCCAACACUCUAGCAAUACAUUCCCAAUAGGACGUAAGGCUAUUUAAGGGGAAGUAAAAUAAUUUAUUUUUGAACAAUACGGAAGCGGAAAUCAUUUUGGCAAAAUGAAGAAUACAAGGCAACGGAAUUUGGAUAAGAUUUUUACAUCAAAGAUGAAGUUUAAAACUUACAACAAAACCAAAGAGUUUAAAAUAAGUAAAUAUACUAACCAACUCUUAGGCACAAUUUGGAGAGUACAAAGUGCUAAGUUUAGUUACAAAAAAUUCCUUCAAGACGAAGGGAAUCAAGCAUAUGUACAAACAAAAACCUGUGGAAAGUCAAUGAGCGAUUAAGAAGUUGACAAGUAACAAACAACGCUUGUCCCGACCUUAGUCCAGAUCGUCUAUUUGUAGGUGCACCGGUCCUGUAAUAAAGUAGGGGUGAGCAUCACAAACGUUCAUCGCUCCCCCUCAAGGAAUCCACCCUAGCUAGGUUUGAAAAUAGUAUACAACACUAUAUAUACUAUAGAAAAAUGUUUGAUGCACAACAAAAGCUUUGUUUAGUUUUGAAAAUAGAUUGUAUGCUCACACAAUUUCCUUUUAAAAAGAAAACAGGGAUCCCUAUAAAUCACUACAUGCCUGAUGACCGGUCCAAUGACUAACUACCCCCUUACUUGGACAAACUCUUAACGAAUAUACUUAUGGUAAGGUGUAGCAAGAGUGUCCUUUAAUGCUCUACCCUUAGAUAUCCAAGUACCUCUCCUAGAAAGGUAGCGGUACUAAUCCCUUCGUAGUAGCCCCUCCGGAGGUUUAGGGGAUCGAAACCCAAGGCGGUCGCUAUGCCCCUUUCACUCUCAAGUCAUCAAUUAAUUUGUAGCAUAAAACAACAUGCAUAUCAUGAUAUAAAACAAACCAUUUUUCCUCAUGGUUCUAUCACAACAAAAUAUAUGCAACUUUCACAGGCAUUCGUAUAUUUACAUAUACGUACAUUCACAAAAUUCCAUAACUAGGGUAAGUGAGGAUCCCCCUACCUGGUCUCCAAGCCAAGCAAGCAAUAUUCCUCACCAAUACCUCGAUCCCAAAGCUAAAACGAAGAUCCGCGUCACUACCGCAAUAACUAGACUCCACGUACUUGAAUAAAUUCCUUGAUCACGUCCAAAUACUAAGUAUUUCUACCACACAUAUCUUUUCUAAUCUCUCUCACUAUAUAUAAAUAUAUAAUGUAUAAGAACUAAACCUAAGUAUAUAGCAUAAGUUCAGAACUGCAUGCACUUGCAUGUCAAACUCUCAUAAUAUCUCUCGGCAAAGGCUUAACAUGCAUCUAUCUCCAUCUCUCUGUCCUACAAGAGCUCACAUGCUGCAUGCUUC